AUGCCUAGGAAUCUGCCUGGUAGUGGGGGAUCCCGCUCGGAAACGGACGCUAAUACCGCAUACGUCCUACGGGAGAAAGCAGGGGACCUUCGGGCCUUGCGCUAUCAGAUGAGCCUAGGUCGGAUUAGCUAGUUGGUGAGGUAAUGGCUCACCAAGGCGACGAUCCGUAACUGGUCUGAGAGGAUGAUCAGUCACACUGGAACUGAGACACGGUCCAGACUCCUACGGGAGGCAGCAGUGGGGAAUAUUGGACAAUGGGCGAAAGCCUGAUCCAGCCAUGCCGCGUGUGUGAAGAAGGUCUUCGGAUUGUAAAGCACUUUAAGUUGGGAGGAAGGGCAGUUACCUAAUACGUAUCUGUUUUGACGUUACCGACAGAAUAAGCACCGGCUAACUCUGUGCCAGCAGCCGCGGUAAUACAGAGGGUGCAAGCGUUAAUCGGAAUUACUGGGCGUAAAGCGCGCGUAGGUGGUUUGUUAAGUUGGAUGUGAAAUCCCCGGGCUCAACCUGGGAACUGCAUUCAAAACUGACAAGCUAGAGUAUGGUAGAGGGUGGUGGAAUUUCCUGUGUAGCGGUGAAAUGCGUAGAUAUAGGAAGGAACACCAGUGGCGAAAGGCGACCACCUGGACUGAUACUGACACUGAGGUGCGAAAGCGUGGGG
RNAcentral lists this ribosomal RNA (658 nucleotides) under Pseudomonas sp. RNAcentral describes it as "bacterial SSU rRNA". It matches the Rfam family "Bacterial small subunit ribosomal RNA", at positions 113 to 766 of the family's 1533-position model. The record is from RNAcentral. Lineage: Bacteria; Pseudomonadati; Pseudomonadota; Gammaproteobacteria; Pseudomonadales; Pseudomonadaceae.